RNAcentral lists this ribosomal RNA (253 nucleotides) under uncultured bacterium. Its description in RNAcentral is "partial 16S ribosomal RNA". It matches the Rfam family "Bacterial small subunit ribosomal RNA", at positions 524 to 776 of the family's 1533-position model. The record is from RNAcentral.
UACGAAGGGGGCUAGCGUUGCUCGGAAUUACUGGGCGUAAAGGGCGCGUAGGCGGCUUGGUAAGUCGGGGGUGAAAGUCAGCGGCUCAACCGCUGGACUGCCUUCGAGACUGCCUGGCUUGAGCAUGGUAGAGGCUGGCGGAAUUCCAGGUGUAGCGGUGAAAUGCGUAGAUAUCUGGAGGAACACCGGUGGCGAAGGCGGCAUCCUGGACCGGUAUGGACACUGAGGCGCGAAAGCCAGGGGAGCAAACGGG